UCUUGGUUUGUUCAGUUGGUAGAGCGUUCCACUGGAAAUACAGAGGUCCUUGGUUCGAUAUCAGGACCAGGCG
This 73-nucleotide transfer RNA is filed under the name Ixodes scapularis (black-legged tick). RNAcentral describes it as "tRNA-Ser for anticodon GGA". Lineage: Eukaryota; Metazoa; Arthropoda; Arachnida; Ixodida; Ixodidae. The record is from RNAcentral.